UACAGAGGUCUCAAGCGUUGUUCGGAUUCAUUGGGCGUAAAGGGUGCGUAGGUGGCGCUGUAAGUCGGGUGUGAAAUUUCGGAGCUUAACUCCGAAACUGCAUUCGAUACUGCGGUGCUUGAGGACUGGAGAGGAGACUGGAAUUCAUGAUGUAGCAGUGAAAUGCGUAGAUAUCGUAAGGAAGACCAGUGGCGAAGGCGGGUCUCUGGACAGUUCCUGACGCUGAGGCACGAAGGUCAGGGGAGCAAACGGG
This 253-nucleotide ribosomal RNA is filed under the name uncultured bacterium. Its description in RNAcentral is "partial 16S ribosomal RNA". It matches the Rfam family "Bacterial small subunit ribosomal RNA", at positions 524 to 776 of the family's 1533-position model. The record is from RNAcentral.